Molecule: ribosomal RNA, 497 nt
Filed under: uncultured bacterium
Lineage: Bacteria
Description: partial 16S ribosomal RNA
Rfam family: Bacterial small subunit ribosomal RNA
Source: RNAcentral
GAUGAACGCUGGCGGCGUGCCUAAUACAUGCAAGUCGAGCGAACGGACGAGAAGCUUGCUUCUCUGAUGUUAGCGGCGGACGGGGGAGUAACACGUGGAUAACCUACCUAUAAGACUGGGAUAACUUCGGGAAACCGUAGCUAAUACCGGAUAAUAUUUUGAACCGCAUGGUUCAAAAGUGAAAGACGGUCUUGCUGUCACUUAUAGAUGGAUCCGCGCUGCAUUAGCUAGUUGGUAAGGUAACGGCUUACCAAGGCAACGAUGCAUAGCCGACCUGAGAGGGUGAUCGGCCACACUGGAACUGAGACACGGUCCAGACUCCUACGGGAGGCAGCAGUAGGGAAUCUUCCGCAAUGGGCGAAAGCCUGACGGAGCAACGCCGCGUGAGUGAUGAAGGUCUUCGGAUCGUAAAACUCUGUUAUUAGGGAAGAACAUAUGUGUAAGUAACUGUGCACAUCUUGACGGUACCUAAUCAGAAAGCCCCGGCUAACUACGUG